GCUCAGGACGAACGCUGGCGGCAUGCCUAACACAUGCAAGUCGAACGAGAAAGUUCCUUCGGGAGCAAUUAAAGUGGCGCACGGGUGAGUAACGCGUAGACAAUCUGCCCUUCAGUCUGGGACAACUUUUCGAAAGGAGAGCUAAUACCGGAUAACAAUGCAUGACACAAGUUGUAUAUUUGAAAGCUUUAUGUGCUGAAGGAGGGGUCUGCGUCCCAUUAGCUAGUUGGUAAGGUAAAGGCUUACCAAGGCAACGAUGGGUAGCGGGUUUGAGAGGACGAUCCGCCACACUGGAACUGAGACACGGUCCAGACUCCUACGGGAGGCAGCAGUGGGGAAUAUUGCACAAUGGAGGAAACUCUGAUGCAGCAAUGUCGCGUGAGUGAAGAAGGCCCUUGGGUCGUAAAGCUCUUUUAUGGGGGAAGAUGAUGACGGUACCCCAAGAAUAAGCACCGGCUAACUAUGUGCCAGCAGCCGCGGUAAUACAUAGGGUGCGAGCGUUGUUCGGAAUUACUGGGCGUAAAGGGCGCGCAGGCGGAAUAGUAAGUCGGAGGUGAAAGCCCGGGGCUCAACCCCGGAGGGUCUUUCGAAACUACUAAUCUAGAGAGGGUCAGGGGCCGGCAGAAUUCCUGGUGUAGAGGUGAAAUUCGUAGAUAUCAGGAGGAAUACCGGUGGCGAAGGCGGCCGGCUGGGGCCACUCUGACGCUGAGGCGCGAAAGCGUGGGGAGCAAACAGGAUUAGAUACCCUGGUAGUCCACGCCGUAAACGAUGAGCACUGGACGUCCGGAGGGUUCGACCCUUCUGGGUGUCUCAGCUAACGCAUUAAGUGCUCCGCCUGGGGAGUACGGUCGCAAGACUAAAACU
RNAcentral lists this ribosomal RNA (864 nucleotides) under uncultured SAR324 cluster bacterium. RNAcentral describes it as "SSU rRNA". It matches the Rfam family "Bacterial small subunit ribosomal RNA", at positions 22 to 901 of the family's 1533-position model. The record is from RNAcentral. Lineage: Bacteria; Deltaproteobacteria.